Molecule: ribosomal RNA, 111 nt
Filed under: Robiginitalea myxolifaciens
Lineage: Bacteria; Pseudomonadati; Bacteroidota; Flavobacteriia; Flavobacteriales; Flavobacteriaceae
Description: partial 16S rRNA. Bacterial SSU
Rfam family: Bacterial small subunit ribosomal RNA
Source: RNAcentral
CUACGAUGAAGAGUUUGAUCCUGGCUCAGGAUGAACGCUAGCGGCAGGCCUAACACAUGCAAGUCGAACGGUAACAUAGAGAAGCUUGCUUUUCUGAUGACGAGUGGCGCA